This 345-nucleotide unclassified non-coding RNA is filed under the name soil metagenome. Its description in RNAcentral is "partial contains 5.8S ribosomal RNA, internal transcribed spacer 2, and large subunit ribosomal RNA". The stretch from base 1 to 119 matches the Rfam family "5.8S ribosomal RNA", at positions 35 to 154 of the family's 154-position model. The record is from RNAcentral.
GAUGAAGAACGCAGCGAAAUGCGAUACGUAAUGUGAAUUGCAAAUUCAGUGAAUCAUCGAGUCUUUGAACGCACAUUGCGCCCCCUGGUAUUCUGGGGGGCAUGCCUGUCCGAGCGUCAUUGCUGCCCUCAAGCACGGCUUGUGUGUUGGGCCCCGUCCUCCGAUCCCGGGGGACGGGCCCGAAAGGCAGCGGCGGCACCGCGUCCGGUCCUCGAGCGUAUGGGGCUUUGUCACCCGCUCUGUAGGCCCGGCCGGCGCUUGCCGAUCAACCCAAAUUUUUAUCCAGGUUGACCUCGGAUCAGGUAGGGAUACCCGCUGAACUUAAGCAUAUCAAUAAGCGGAGGA